This 275-nucleotide microRNA precursor is filed under the name Oryza sativa Indica Group (long-grained rice). Its description in RNAcentral is "MIR821 microRNA precursor family". It matches the Rfam family "MIR821 microRNA precursor family". Lineage: Eukaryota; Viridiplantae; Streptophyta; Magnoliopsida; Poales; Poaceae. The record is from Rfam by way of RNAcentral.
GAUUUCAAUUGAAAAAGUCAUCAACAACAAAGUUGAAUAACUCAUCAAGAUCUAAAACUUUUAUUUUUGUUAUUUCUUCAUCCGACGAAAUGUUAGUAAUAUUAUUCAUAAAUUUUACAUAUAUGUGUUAUAGUUUAUAAAACCAGAUAAGAGAUAUGUCAAUUUUAUGAACAAUGUUACUAUCACUUUGUCGUAUGAAGAAAUGACCAAAAUAAAAGUUUUAGAUCUUGAUGAGUUAUUCAACUUUGUUGUUGAUGACUUUUUCAGUUGAUAUC